RNAcentral lists this long non-coding RNA (679 nucleotides) under Daphnia magna. RNAcentral describes it as "uncharacterized LOC123469694, transcript variant X1". The record is from RNAcentral. Lineage: Eukaryota; Metazoa; Arthropoda; Branchiopoda; Diplostraca; Daphniidae.
GCCAGGGGUCCCUCUGAUAAAGUUACUGUUUAUGGUUCGCCCUGCUUUAUCGAAAGUGAAUGUGAUGGCGUCUGUUUUAGAUUAAGAGGGAAAAGAAACAAGAUAAUAAAGGUUUUGUCCAACGGCAGCAGCAUUUCUCAAUUCGGCGAGCUCGAUAUCAUGCAUGCCUAAUUGAAAUCACCGAUAUAUUUCUGAGUAAAUAAUUUGCCAUAUAUUGCUGCACUUAGGUGCUUCUACCCUACAUAAAGUUGCCGGCGAGGGUUAAAAAAAUGUACCCACCCUAUCCAGGGGGACUCUUUGAAACACCGUGUCCGGUGUCCCUGAUGUCAGCCGGUGGUCAAUGGACAGUUUUGAGUUUAGCGCCCCCGGAAACCAGGGGGAACCUUUGUAAAAACGAUCGUAGCAGAAGACUACAAAAUAACGAUAAACUAAAGGCGACAUGGUAGCAAAUACUUUUGUUUAUCCCCCUCCGCUCCGGGCCUCCGCUAUUGGUUAGCGGCCAAACAUCGGCCAUCACAACUUCAUCCGGUUGGUUGACAGAAGAUUAAGACAAACAAGUCACGUUAUUGGUUUUCCGUUCUCCUGAUUGGGAAUGAUGUUGAUCAUGGGAUCUGGACAUUUUGUCCUCCUGAAAACAAAACAUUCAAUGGCAAAAUAAAUAUUUUUUUUUUUCGGUUAA